RNAcentral lists this unclassified non-coding RNA (436 nucleotides) under fungal sp. RNAcentral describes it as "partial internal transcribed spacer region". The stretch from base 1 to 46 matches the Rfam family "Eukaryotic small subunit ribosomal RNA", at positions 1786 to 1831 of the family's 1831-position model. The record is from RNAcentral. Lineage: Eukaryota; Fungi.
AAGUCGUAACAAGGUCUCCGUAGGUGAACCUGCGGAGGGAUCAUUAACACGUUUUCUUAACGUUUUUAUUAUUCUCCAACCAACCGCGUGAUAUAAUUGAAUCAAUUAAUCGACCUCUAUGAAUUAAAUCUGCUUAGAAUGCACGGAGUGAUGAGUAUAGAAUUACAAUUUUAUUAUUGUUUUGUAUACGGUGUCUCUAAGCUGGUAUUGUUAAACUAUAUAUAUAUAUAUAAUUUGAUAAAUACAGGAUUUCUUUCUUAUAGGCUUAUAAACUUUUAUUAGUUCCCUUCAUCGCUGGAACGCAACAAACCCCUUUCACCACUAUAACUAAUCGACUGAUAUGCAUAAAAUUAAAUGAGUAAAAUUAUUUAAUUUAGCAACUUUAAUAAUCAAAUUUAUCUAAGCACAACUCUUAGCAACGGAUAUCUUGGUUCUC